AAAUCAUUUCUGAGAUGAAGCUACAGAUUUUAGUAUUUGAGUGGACAUGAUCAAUUGUGAGAUUUUAUAAUUAUAUUUCACAAAAUUACCAACACAAAUCACUUUUCUCAUUUAUCCCUGAUUUCUAUCUUAGUAAAUUAAGGUCAAUCUAAGACACACUUAAUUAUUACUCCAAUUUGAUGUAAACCACAUGAAUUCCAACAAAUAAAAGGCCCCCUCCUACGUGAAUUAGCUACAUGUAAUACAUUACAACAAACUUGGGAUACCACAGCAUUUCCAUGUCACCUCUUAGCUCCUUCCUGACUCUGCAUUAUGGGCUUGUUUGUUCACACAUUCAGCUGUCCAACACAGCAAAGAGCAAUGAAGGGUAUUCCACAUGGUACCACUUUCUACACUCACUUUAUAGCUU
This 409-nucleotide long non-coding RNA is filed under the name Lotus japonicus. RNAcentral describes it as "long non-coding RNA (LJAP_LNC000440)". Lineage: Eukaryota; Viridiplantae; Streptophyta; Magnoliopsida; Fabales; Fabaceae. The record is from RNAcentral.